RNAcentral lists this non-coding RNA (26 nucleotides) under Rattus norvegicus (Norway rat). The record is from RNAcentral. Lineage: Eukaryota; Metazoa; Chordata; Mammalia; Rodentia; Muridae.
UUUCAACUGAGACUUUUUGUGUGUCC